Molecule: long non-coding RNA, 436 nt
Organism: Mytilus californianus (California mussel)
Lineage: Eukaryota; Metazoa; Mollusca; Bivalvia; Mytilida; Mytilidae
Exons: 4
Source: RefSeq, a predicted model, not a curated record
GUUCUGGUUCUGGUUCAGAUGUAGUUUCUGGUUCUGGUUCAGAUGUAGUUUCUGGUUCUGAUUUAGGUUCAGAUGUAGUUUCUGGUUCCGGUUCAGAUGUAGUUUCUGGUUCUGACCUAGGUUCAGAUGAAGUUUCUGGUUCUGACUUAGGUUCAGAUGUAGUUUCUGGUUCUGAUCUAGGUUCAGAUGUAGUUUCUGGUUCUGAUUUAGGUUCAGAUGUAGUUUCUGGUUCUGACCUAGGUUCAGAUGAAGUUUCUGGUUCUGAUUUAGGUUCAGAUGUAGUUUCUGGUUCUGACUUAGGUUCAGAUGUUGUUUCUGGUUCUGACUUAGGUUCAGAUGUAGUUUCUGGUUCUGAUUUUGGUUCAGAUGUAGUUUCUGGUUCUGACUUAGGUUCAGAUGUCGUUUCUGGUUCUGACUUAGGUUCAGAUGUAGUUUC